Molecule: non-coding RNA, 6825 nt
Organism: Meleagris gallopavo (turkey)
Lineage: Eukaryota; Metazoa; Chordata; Aves; Galliformes; Phasianidae
Source: RefSeq, a predicted model, not a curated record
GUUUCUUCCAUCCAUCUCUGUGUGGGCUAUGCCUGCAUGCCACACAGCAUCACAGCCCUUCGUUGGCAUCCUUGGUGUCAGCCUGCAGCCACGUGAGCUAAGGCACACCAGAUGAAAAAUUCAAAUGAUGCUUUACACAGCACAACAUUUCCCGAGAGGGAUUCUGAGCUGCCCAGCUGUGCUGUUUUGAGGCCAUUUGGAGCCAAACACAGAAACAUGAGGCACAGUAGCACUUUUCUCUACAAAGAAACAGCCCUGAAGGGCCUCUCACCUGUGUUGAUGGGUCUGGCAGCAUUCAGAGCACUAAGGGAGUGUGAGUGACUUCCGCGAGGGCAGAUGGUCUCUGAGGAUCUCUGCUAUGGGCUGGGGAGGUAGAUGAAAGCAGCUCCAUUGCACGAUCUCCUAGCGCCGUGUAUUUUUUGCUCAGGCAUGGUGACCGCUCGGGGCUCACUCUGGGCACGCCGGGCAGGGCGGGCAGCCAACUGGCAGAGCAGGGCCCAGCUGCUACAUGGCAGGGAGCUGCAGCACUGUUAACCCUUCCUGAAGUACUGCCACCACACCAUGUGGUGACUGCUGCAGCACCUGCAGGUCCACUGCCAGUUCCCCCUCCCCUCUUGGCUUCUCUUUCAGGAUGGUCUGUGUGCCUUAUAAAGGGGCUGUCAGACUGAGAUUUCCCUGCUGAAGAUGGUGGAGCUCUGCACCUGCUUUGUAAUUAAACAAACAGGCAGACAGUGAUGUGGAUGCAGAUUUGGACUCACCCUGUCUUUGUCCCAGCCUCAAAGCCACAGGGCCUGGCCUGUCAGCAGGAUGGGCACAUCCUGGGUGCAAGAGCAGCUUGGCAAGGCUGCAUUUGCAGGCAGGCUAUGCACAGGGCUGCCCUUCUGCCACCUCAGGGACAUCUCUGCCUGUGCAGCUGCACACUGGUUUUUCACCCAGCAGCAAGCAAUGGCUGGUACCAGGUGUUAGAUCCUCCAUGCUGGGGGGACAUGUGUUGGGCCAAUUCAAGCUAGCUAGAGCUUCCUGCAGCCUUGAGAAUCUUCUCUUGCUAAAGCCAGAAAAGUCCCUCAGCCAGCUUUGUUCACACACACACACUCAUAACACAGGGAGAAAAAAAUCUCUUGUGCUCAGCAUGAUGGAGCAUCACUGAGGACCCCCUUCAAAUCAAACGCCCUUUCCCGUGGCCAAACUCCUGCAUUUCUGCAGGUCUCUUUCCACGAGCCACCCGUCCCCAGAUGCUGGUCCUGCUGCAAUGGCCACCUCUGGACACUGACCUGCUUUGCUGUGAUGCUGCAGCCCCUGCAGUGCCCUGCCAUCCCCGCCAAGCAGCCCCCACAGCCAACACCUCCCCUGGCUCCCUGCAGCCUGGCCUGCCCUUCCCUCCUGACCAUCUCUUCUAGCCAAGCCAUCAUUUCCCAGAAAACAGACAUGUUGCUAUAUUAAGGAGAUCUCGCCCUCAGCGUUUCUUUGCCUCUGGGGAGACUCAAGCAAAUCAAGUGGCAGAGUAUACGCAAAGCAGCACAGACUCCCUGUCAGAUGAAAAGGACAGUCCAAAAGGGAAGAGAGAGCAAAAGAGAAAGCUCUGUGUUUGCAUUUGUCUCUGACAUGAUGGAUUUCCCCUUCCUGGAAUGCAGCCUUGGCGUAAAUAAAGCCAGGAACGGCUUUUGUGUAAGAACUCGCUUCCUUACCAAUAGUCGUGGAGUCACAGACAAUAAAAGCCCUGGCAGUUCAUCCCAUAAUGCUCUGUAUAAUCAGCAGGAUUUUCCCUACUGAAUAUUCACCGAAGUUGCUUUAUCUACCAUGCCUCUGAAAUCUCCAGAGAUGGAACCUCUGCAGAUGCCCUCAAGAGCACAUUUUUCCAUACUUGAAGCGUUCUUGCUGCAAAGAUAAAAACCAAACCUCUGAUCUAACACAUUAAAAAGCCAUCUCUGGGGGAGUUCAAAGACAGUGAGAGCUGUCUGUGGGCCACAAACAGCAAAGGUGUUCAACACUGUCGAUUUUUCCCCAAGUGGUUCCCUUAGUGUAUUUUUUUGCAUUGUCUAGAGCUUUUGCUCUUUGCAUCAACAUCAGCUCUCACCCUCCAUCACAGAACAGUGAAGAUAUCUGUGAGUAUCAGCGUAGAUACUUGAGAACUAUUGUCUUUCCAGUCUUUUCCCCACCUCAAACUGUAAAGCUGAGGCUCUUUUCGUAUUCCUAUUCUGCAAAGACUGCUAUCACCUGUGUUGCCUUUCUUGAAGGAAAAACAUAUUCUUUCAUGGGAACAAAGACCCCAUCACUCACGUAGGUAAGGCAGCACCUAGCGUUGUGCUUGCUCCCCAUGGCAAACUACAUAUGUGUGUCACAUGUUGUGGUGUGGGAUAUUUUGCUAAAUCUGUGUAUUGAGAUUUUUGACCACUAUACCUACCUCUGUCUCACAUUGCCAUCUGUUCGGAGGCUCCCCGCAUCUGCUCUCUUCACUACCAACAGAGGACUGCCAGGAAAAUGGUUCCUCCUUUUCUUGCCAAAUUUGGAAUUUCAGUUGCAAAUUUACCCUAGCAAGAAAGCCAAGGGAAGUCACUGCCAGGCUCAUUCCAGCUUUCCUGCUGGGCAUAUUUUCAGUGCUGUCGCAGAAGCUGAAGAGGGGAGCAGAGUCCCUUCUGCAAGGGGCUGUGCCCAGCACUGCGAGGAACCUGUAGCUGUGCCCAAGCAGGAAGAGCAGAUUGAAAAAAGACCUCAAAAAUGUGCUAUGUGUGGGCUCAGGAAAAGAAUUCUAUGUGACAUGGAUGACAAUCACAGCACUCUGUACACUCGUCCUCAUGAAAACUAAUGCACCUGGCUGCAAUGGCUGAAGGUCUUUUUGGAAGCAGAUCCAAUCGAAUGUGCCAGCGCCACAUAAGUCAUUCCUGAAAUUAAUUUUCCACAGGACUGGCUUGCAUAAUAUGCAUAGGGCUUCUUUGUUUGCAUGUGGUACAAUCCUGCAGCCAAGUCAGAGGAAGCUUUAUACAACUCUGUACUGCUAUGCUUGGUCAGCACAUGCGUAUGUGCAAGCAGAUGCUGCCGAAGUCAAGCCAGGACUUCUGUGUGCAAGUUUCUUGUGAAAUGAGACAAGUGUGUCAGGCAUUUUUCUCUGUACUACCCUUGUAGGUGUAUUAUACAGAGACAAAAUAGCAACUCUGCUCUGCUGUCACCAUCCUGCUCCAGUUAACUCACCACAGCUGAAUGUUUAGGUGGAAGAACACCUGAUAUGCUUCAACUCACCUGUUUCCACUGGAGAUUAGGGCAGAAUCAGUUGUCAUGGGGUUUCUGCUGCAGAGUGAGCAGUAUAUCACCAUCCUUAUAGUGUCUCUGUCCACAUAAGGCUUUUUACCCCUACAAAACAAUGAUAGGAGACUUAAUAGUACAGGUGGAGCAUACAGGGGUCACCUCAGACACCUCAGCUGAAGGCAGCUGGCCCUGGCCUCAUCCUAGGGCACCAAACCUCAGCAGAUUUCCUGCACCUUCUGCUGCAGCACCACAAAUCUAUCAAAUGCCAAUGGGGCGCCUGCAGGGAUGUGGCAAAGAUCACAUACUUCUACAAGGAAUUUUUAGAGGCUCCCAAGAACCACACAGCAAAUGAUUUUUUUCCACGUGAAGGCUCCAUUGGAACAAGAGAGACCUUCCAGUGGGUUGGAAAAAGCACCACCCUCCACCUCAGCAGGAGAAAGAAGUUCAGCCAGGGAAGGCAUGGCUCAUUAUCUGUUGAAGAAGUACUCAUUUAGCUGAGGUGUUGAUGGGUCUCGGCAAAUUCCCAAAUAGAAAAAUCACCUAUUGCUCUUCCAUUCCUCACUAUGGCUCACCCAUUCCUUCCUCUCUGCUGAGACUGGUUAAUUCAGUUCAUAUUCGUGAACUCGUGACUGAGCAAUGAUAGAAAAAUGUAGUAUGUAAUGGGAACAGUGAACUGUCACCUCACAUGGCUGGUACCAAGGAGGCUCCUAAUUAUAGCCUGAUGUGUACAUCCUCCUGGAAGGUGAUUGUACUUAUUUGAACAAGUACAGUAUUAAUUAAAUACUUUGAUUAUUUCUGAAACAGGCUUUGGGAUGGAGGGGGAGAGAGGUUCAAGGGAACUAAUCUUUCCAUUGCUGAAAGAUUUUUUUUUUUCCUAGGAACUGCAGCAGAAGGCUAAAUACAGGAUUUCCUCUUCAUUUCCUCUUUCCUCCUGUCUCUGACAUGUUCCCAUGUGGUCUCCCAUCAUGGUCUGCUUGCCCUUAGUCUCCCCUGGCUCUGCGGCCAUGCCAAGUCCCCAGGAUCACCCCACUUGCCUCUCCUGGCAGGCAGAAGCCCAGCAGGGAGGGAUGAAGGCUCUUGUCUGAGAGCAGGAUUUGCAGCUGCGUGACCUUCUGUGCUUGCAGUAUUCCCAGUGGUACCUGCCUGCAGAAAACCUGGGAACAGCCAGUUUCCAGCUCUUGCACUGGGUUUCCAGCAGCUUCCAAGACCCAAUACAAAGCAGCAACGCUGCACACGAGAGGCACAGACCAAGAUCAGGAGGUGCAGAGAAAACAAGGGAAAUGUCACAUGAUUAACUCUUCAAACCAAGAAAGAUCUUCAAUUCACACAAGGCACAAAGCUUUGCUCAGGCUCUGCUGCAGGCUCUCCAGGAGUGAUGAAUGGUUCACGGAGGUCCUGGGUUUGCAGGGAGCCUGGAGCUGCCAUACAAGCAAGGCAGCUUGGGUGGCAGCAGGCUGCAGAAGGCAGUGGGUUUAGGUGCUGGGGGCAAAGCUGGUUUCUCAGCCUGGAGCUGCCUUUCAAGGAAGCCUUGGGCCCCAUUUCAGGUGAGCUCCUUCUUACUUCUUGAACGAACCUAAACCAUGUGCUGAGCUGUGAAGUCCAGCAGUAUUUCUUAGCAACUCUGGGAACAGUGUUUCCCAGCAAGAUAAGACCUUAUUUAAAAGAGCCAAAGCUUUGCUUUGAAGGAAUCCUCUACCACAGUGUAUGGCUGUGGAACAGUCACUUUGUACCAUUUUGGAGGAAACUAAACCUGCUGUUCUUGCACCAUGCCUUGUAGCCAUCCCCUGCCUCAGUUUCUCUUUGUCCCAGCACUUCCUUGAUAGUAGUCUCUGCCUGGCACCACAGAAGAAGGCAGCAUGGAGCAGCAGACUCUUGUACAUACCGGGGAUUUUCUGCUCUUGUGGAAGUCCUUCACAUCUACAGGGGUCCAAACAGGCAACCAGCACCCUUCUGGCAGUACCAAAACCAGCUGUCCUGAUUGCUAUCAACAUACCUGAAAUGCUGCUGCAUCAGAGCCUCUGCAGGGGACAUGACAACUGUGCUUUGCCCAGGUCACGGGAGAAUACAAUCCUGUUUUCUCCCACGUCUUUUCAUUAUGGUUUGUAGGGCCAUAUGAAACAUAGAAUGUUUGGUCUCUCAUCUUGAAAAGAUUAGUAAGGGAUGGCUGUGGGUCAGGACUGUCACUGAUGCACUCCAAAGGACUCAGUGCAGCUGCACAGCUCUGUAUUGAGGAUGCAGGGGAAGGACAAGAGGUAUUUCUACACCCAGUAAUGCAGAAGAUGUUAAAUCAACAUGAUGAGAGCUGAUGAGAAACAAUAGAGGCAUCAGGACAGCACAGAGAAAGGGAGAGUUAUGAGACCUGGAUGCUGUGGGCCUAAGAGACAUGGAGACAUGCAUGCUAAUUUAUCAUUGUACCAAUACCUCUACAGGCCACAGAGUGCUGCUGGGCCAUAAAAAUGGUGCUGUUCUAAUGCCAGUCUCCCCCUGCUGGGAACCAGAGGCCCAAAGGCAAACCCUGGGUGACAUUCCUUGAGAGGCUCCAGAAGCUCUCAGUGGGGAUGGCAGCUCUGCAAAGAGCCAGGCAAAGAGCAUGAAAGCACUCACAGCAUUGCCUCAAAGGGCUCGGCUCCUGCUCCAGCCACUUUCCCCAGGGCAUAUUUCCCAGUUGCACUCUCACAAGCCCCUCUGAGAUGCUGAGGACAUGCAGGUUCCUCAUGCUCUGCAUAUGAGUGAAAACGGGACAUAGGACAGGAAAGCAACAGAGGCCAAAGACAAAAGCCUGGGCUCAGAAGAAGGUGAAGAAACAAUGAGAUCACCAGGCAUAAGCUCAGGGAUGCUGGGCUAAUCUGAAAUGUCUGAGACCAGGAGGUGGAGGGGAGGAGAGGUUGCUCUGCGCAGCCCUUUUUCAGGAACCACCAGACAGAUUUGAAAGGCCCAACCUAAAGUAUUGGACUACAGCUUCACAAGGAGGCAAUUGAAAACACAAAUUGAUCAAAGCUGCUGUUCAGGGACAUUCACUGCUCCUCAUUCCAAUUGGCUCGCUGUGUAACCACCAUCGGCAGCUUCCCUCACAGAAAGAUCCACUGCAUGGAUUUUUCCUUUCCGAUUGCAUUUCCAGGGAUGAUAGGAAAGUUGCAGCAUAAAUUAAACAAGGCGCCUUGGGACUCCGAUUCAAAAAUAAUGUAGAUGAAUUCCUGAGUGAGAGGGGAAGAAAGAGCGGAGCUAAAUGCACUGCCUGCCUGAUGGCUUCUCCCUGGCCGUGUUCACACCAAUUAGCUGUAGCUGCACGGAUAGGGCGGCCAGGAAAGCACCUUUGUGCACACAUGCUAAUUUACUCACUGGCUGCAGCACACAAUUAAUAAAAGCACCGCUCCACGCAUUCCUGAAAACAAAGAGCUAAUGCCACAACAUCCAGAGACACAGAACCCGAAAGGGGUGCGCACACAAAAACAAGCUUGAGCUUUGGGGAACUCUGCAGUGCUCAGCCAGCCCUGGCAGUCAGAAUCACUGGGCAAGCAUAGGGCCCUGCUCUGCCAUCCGAAAGUUUGUGCUGCCAGUACCACGCAAACUGAGGGGAGAAUGAAC